This 497-nucleotide ribosomal RNA is filed under the name uncultured bacterium. Its description in RNAcentral is "partial 16S ribosomal RNA". It matches the Rfam family "Bacterial small subunit ribosomal RNA", at positions 28 to 507 of the family's 1533-position model. The record is from RNAcentral.
GACGAACGCUGGCGGCGUGCCUAAUACAUGCAAGUAGAACGCUGAAGAGAGGAGCUUGCUCUUCUUGGAUGAGUUGCGAACGGGUGAGUAACGCGUAGGUAACCUGCCUUGUAGCGGGGGAUAACUAUUGGAAACGAUAGCUAAUACCGCAUAACAAUGGAUGACACAUGUCAUUUAUUUGAAAGGGGCAAUUGCUCCACUACAAGAUGGACCUGCGUUGUAUUAGCUAGUAGGUGAGGUAAUGGCUCACCUAGGCGACGAUACAUAGCCGACCUGAGAGGGUGAUCGGCCACACUGGGACUGAGACACGGCCCAGACUCCUACGGGAGGCAGCAGGAGGGAAUCUUCGGCAAUGGGGGCAACCCUGACCGAGCAACGCCGCGUGAGUGAAGAAGGUUGUCGGAUCGUAAAGCUCUGUUGUAAGUCAAGAACGGGUGUGAGAGUGGAAAGUUCACACUGUGACGGUAGCUUACCAGAAAGGGACGGCUAACUACGUG